GAAAGCCUGACAGUUAAGCUGCCAGAUUUCUCAAGAGACUUAUCCGGCCGGCUACAGACCCUUUAGACCCAAUAAUAACGGUUACCACUCGAGCCGCCGGUGUUACCGCGGCGGCUGGCACCGGUCUUGCCCGGCCCUUGCUAUGAAAUGCUUUUUAGGCAUCUCGACAGCCAGAUUUGUAACCUGGCACUCGAGGUUCCCUUAUCGCUGUUGCCAGCAUUGUAAAGUUUUCGCGCCUGCUGCACCCCGUAGGGCCUGGAUUCGUGUCUCAGAAUCCAUCUCCGGGCUCUUGCUCUCACAACCCGUACCCGUCGUAGGCUAGUAGGUACGCUACACCCACUACUACCUGAUAGGCCGCAGACCCAUCCUUAGGCGCCGGAGCUUUAAAUCUCGAUGCAUUCCAGCAAUCGAGACCUAUCGGGUAUUAUACCCAGUUUCCCGGGUUUAUCCCCGUCCUAAGGGCAGGUUGUCCACGUGUUACUGAGCAGUUCGCCAUGUAUUGCUACAUUCGACU
This 514-nucleotide ribosomal RNA is filed under the name uncultured archaeon. Its description in RNAcentral is "partial 16S ribosomal RNA". The record is from RNAcentral.